Molecule: ribosomal RNA, 255 nt
Filed under: uncultured bacterium
Lineage: Bacteria
Description: partial 16S ribosomal RNA
Rfam family: Bacterial small subunit ribosomal RNA
Source: RNAcentral
UACGGGGGGAGCAAGCGUUGUUCGGAUUUACUGGGCGUAAAGGGCGCGUAGGCGGCCACCGCAAGUCGGUUGUGAAAUCUCCGGGCUUAACCCGGAAAGGUCAAUCGAUACUGCGGGGCUAGAGUGCAGAAGGGGCAACUGGAAUUCUCGGUGUAGCGGUGAAAUGCGUAGAUAUCGAGAGGAACACCUGCGGCGAAGGCGGGUUGCUGGGCUGACACUGACGCUGACAGCGCGAAAGCUAGGGGAGCAAACAGG